Long non-coding RNA from Paramisgurnus dabryanus, 243 nucleotides. RefSeq lists it as uncharacterized. The record is from RefSeq and is a predicted model, not a curated record. Lineage: Eukaryota; Metazoa; Chordata; Actinopteri; Cypriniformes; Cobitidae.
CCAUAUAUGAGGGCUUGUUCCUGACCAAGGAUGAGGAAGUGGCUACCUUUGUUGACCUUGUCAGAGGCAACAUGAGAAGUGCAAAUGACAGUGCUGUCUGCGGUACUGCCAAGUUCAGUGCUGGCAGAGAGAUGUCAAAAAAGGCUGGUGCUCAGAUAGAUGAGGAGGGCAUUCAAGUUGCAGUUUGCAGGUGAGAUGGGGCGGCAGAAGCCAGGAUGGAGCAGGAAACACGGUGGCAGAGGA